GUGAGACAGACGGGCAGACAGGCACAGGGGAAGGAGACACAAACCCACAAACCUCUCCGAAACAGGAGCGCUUUUUUCUUCCGGGACAGCGGUUUUGGGGAGACAUCAGUGCGAAGCACAGCUAGAGAGGAAGAGACAGGUGUGAGGCAGAGGGCAGGAGGCAUGGGCUGCUGCUACAGCCGGGGCCAGGAGGGCGAGGGCGAGAAGCAGAAGAGCUCAGACUGCAGCGGCUGCAGGAAGUGCUGCCUGCAGACCAGGAAGUGCGUGAUGAGCCCGGAAUGCGGCCGCGCGCUGCAGAUCGCCAACACCUGCGCCGCCUGCGGCAUGUGCAUCCGCAUGUGGAUGUGAGGCCAGGGAGUCUACAACAUGGAGUCCAGUUUUCUACAGUCUUGUCAUCCCUACAUGCAGGGAUUACAAGAAGAUCAUCCCUUUUUACGACAGGUCACCCCUGGCAACAGAACCCUCCCUCUUUAUGACAUGUCACCCCUGGCAACAGAACCCUCCCUCUUUAUGACAGGUCAACCCUGGUAACAAGAACCUCCAUGUUAGUGUCUGACUUCUGUCAGUUAGCCUUCCUUACCUGCUGUUUGUCAGGCCUGACAACACACCUGGUUGCAGCUGUGCCCUUAACUGAGAUAAUGUCUGCGCAAAGGCCGAGCAAUCAGAAGCAGCGGCUGAUUCACCUGCCCAAUCAGUGCAGAGAAACUGCCACCAGACGUAUGUACUGCAAGACUGACUGAAUGAGGCUGGCCUACAACACAACAGCUGGCGCUCAGAUGUUGGGCCCUCUGCUGGCUGAGUUUCAUUGUGGUUCUUUGUGUUACAUCAAAAGUAACGUUAAAUUGUUCGUAUUUAAUGCUGAAGCAGGGAACAGAAAAGCCGGCUUUAUAUUUAAGUGAGCACAUAGUUCUUUCUGUGUUGGUGUCAAUAAAUAGUUUGUGCAUCUUUUUUUGGACCAGAGGGUUGUUGGUUCAGUGAGUGAGAUGCUGCUGUUGCUCUCCAAGGGGAGGUACCUGUAAUGUAUUAGCUGU
Molecule: long non-coding RNA, 1031 nt
Organism: Megalops cyprinoides (Indo-Pacific tarpon)
Lineage: Eukaryota; Metazoa; Chordata; Actinopteri; Elopiformes; Megalopidae
Exons: 3
Source: RefSeq, a predicted model, not a curated record